This 402-nucleotide ribosomal RNA is filed under the name bacterium. Its description in RNAcentral is "partial 16S ribosomal RNA". It matches the Rfam family "Bacterial small subunit ribosomal RNA", at positions 355 to 776 of the family's 1533-position model. The record is from RNAcentral.
UGGGGAAUUUUGCACAAUGGGGGAAACCCUGAUGCAGCGACGCCGCGUGAUUUAGAAGGCCUUCGGGUUGUAAAAAUCUUUUUUACGGGAUGAAAAUGACAGUACCGUAAGAAUAAGGUCCGGCUAAAUACGUGUCAGCAGCCGCGGUAAUACGUAUGGACCGAGCGUUGUCCGGAAUCAUUGGGCGUAAAGGGUACGUAGGCGGCCUAGUAAGUUAGAAGUGAAAUAAUAUAGCUCAACUACAUAAAGCUUUUAAAACUGCUAGGCUUGAGAGAUGGAAGGGAAAGUGGAAUUCCUAGUGUAGCGGUGAAAUGCGCAGAUAUUAGGAAGAAUACCGGUGGCGAAGGCGACUUUCUGGUCAUCAUCUGACGCUGAGGUACGAAAGCGUGGGUAGCAAACAGG